UCUCUCCUAUGUUGCAAUCCUGGCCA
This 26-nucleotide non-coding RNA is filed under the name Rattus norvegicus (Norway rat). Lineage: Eukaryota; Metazoa; Chordata; Mammalia; Rodentia; Muridae. The record is from RNAcentral.